This 1242-nucleotide ribosomal RNA is filed under the name metagenome. Its description in RNAcentral is "bacterial LSU rRNA". It matches the Rfam family "Bacterial large subunit ribosomal RNA", at positions 1564 to 2815 of the family's 2925-position model. The record is from RNAcentral.
UGAUGACGAGACGCUAAGGCGUUGAAGCAGUGUAUGUCAGACUUCCAAGAAAAGCUCGCAAUGUCACAAAUAAAAGAUGCCUGUACCAUAACCGACACAGGUGGGUAGGUAGAGUAUACUAAGGGGCGCGAGAUAACUCUCUCUAAGUAACUCGGCAAAAUGACUCCGUAACUUCGGGAGAAGGAGUGCCUUAUUUAUAAGGUUGCAAUAACAAGAUCCAAGCAACUGUUUAUCAAAAACACAGGUCUCCGCUAAGUCGUAAGACGAUGUAUGGGGGCUGACGCCUGCCCAGUGCCAGAAGGUUAAAGAAGUUGGUUAGUGUAUGCGAAGCUGAUGACUGAAGCCCUGGUGAACGGCGGCCGUAACAAUAACGGUCCUAAGGUAGCGAAAUUCCUUGUCGGGUAAGUUCCGACCCGCACGAAAGGCGUAAUGAUUUGGAUACUGUCUCGGAGAGAGGCUCGGUGAAAUAGACUUGUCUGUGAAGAUGCGGACUACCUGCACCAGGACAGAAAGACCCUAUGAAGCUUUACUGUAACUUGAAAUUGGAAUUGGACUUUGCUUGCGCAGUAUAGGUGGGAAGCGUUGAAAAUAUUCUUGCGGGAGUAUUGGAGCUAUCAGUGAGAUACCACUCUUGUAAUGUUAGAUUUCUAACUUUGAACCAUAAUCUGGUCAAAGAACAGUUUCAGGUGGGCAGUUUGACUGGGGCGGUCGCCUCCCAAAUGGUAACGGAGGCGUACAAAGGUUUCCUCUGAACGGAUAGAAAUCGUAUCUAGAGUGUAAAGGCAUAAGGAAGCUUGACUGUGAGACCUACAAGUCGAGCAGGGACGAAAGUCGGUCUUAGUGAUCUGACGGUACUGAGUGGAAAGGCCGUCACUCAACGGAUAAAAGUUACUCUAAGGAUAACAGGCUGAUCUCCCCCAAGAGUUCACAUCGACGGGGAGGUUUGGCACCUCGAUGUCGGCUCAUCGCAUCCUGGGGCGGUAGUACGUCCCAAGGGUUGGGCUGUUCGCCCAUGAAAGCGGUACGCGAGCUGGGUUCAGAACGUCGUGAGACAGUUCGGUCCAUAUCCGGUGUAGGCGCUAGAAUAUUGAGAGGAGCCUUCUUUAGUACGAGAGGACCGAGAAGGACACACCGCUGGUGUACCAGUUAUCGUGCCAACGGUAAACGCUGGGUAGCUAUGUGUGGAGUGGAUAACCGCUGAAAGCAUCUAAGUGGGAAGCCCACCUCGAGAUGAGUAUUCUC